RNAcentral lists this ribosomal RNA (301 nucleotides) under uncultured bacterium. RNAcentral's name for it is "partial 16S ribosomal RNA". It matches the Rfam family "Bacterial small subunit ribosomal RNA", at positions 509 to 807 of the family's 1533-position model. The record is from RNAcentral.
CAGCCGCCGCGGGAACACAGAGGGUGCGAGCGUUAAUCGGAUUUACUGGGCGUAAAGCGUGCGUAGGCGGCUUUUUAAGUCGGAUGUGAAAUCCCUGAGCUUAACUUAGGAAUUGCAUUCGAUACUGGGAAGCUAGAGUAUGGGAGAGGAUGGUAGAAUUCCAGGUGUAGCGGUGAAAUGCGUAGAGAUCUGGAGGAAUACCGAUGGCGAAGGCAGCCAUCUGGCCUAAUACUGACGCUGAGGUACGAAAGCAUGGGGAGCAAACAGGAUUAGAUACCCCCGUAGUCCCUGUCUCUUAUAC